GGGUUGUGAGGUUAAGCGACUAAGCGUACACGGUGGAUGCCCUGGCAGUCAGAGGCGAUGAAGGACGUGCUAAUCUGCGAUAAGCGUCGGUAAGGUGAUAUGAACCGUUAUAACCGGCGAUUUCCGAAUGGGGAAACCCAGUGUGUUUCGACACACUAUCAUUAACUGAAUCCAUAGGUUAAUGAGGCGAACCGGGGGAACUGAAACAUCUAAGUACCCCGAGGAAAAGAAAUCAACCGAGAUUCCCCCAGUAGCGGCGAGCGAACGGGGAGCAGCCCAGAGCCUGAAUCAGUGUGUGUGUUAGUGGAAGCGUCUGGAAAGGCGCGCGAUACAGGGUGACAGCCCCGUACACAAAAAUGCACAUGCUGUGAGCUCGAUGAGUAGGGCGGGACACGUGGUAUCCUGUCUGAAUAUGGGGGGACCAUCCUCCAAGGCUAAAUACUCCUGACUGACCGAUAGUGAACCAGUACCGUGAGGGAAAGGCGAAAAGAACCCCGGCGAGGGGAGUGAAAAAGAACCUGAAACCGUGUACGUACAAGCAGUGGGAGCACGCUUCGGCGUGUGACUGCGUACCUUUUGUAUAAUGGGUCAGCGACUUAUAUUCUGUAGCAAGGUUAACCGAAUAGGGGAGCCGAAGGGAAACCGAGUCUUAACUGGGCGUUAAGUUGCAGGGUAUAGACCCGAAACCCGGUGAUCUAGCCAUGGGCAGGUUGAAGGUUGGGUAACACUAACUGGAGGACCGAACCGACUAAUGUUGAAAAAUUAGCGGAUGACUUGUGGCUGGGGGUGAAAGGCCAAUCAAACCGGGAGAUAGCUGGUUCUCCCCGAAAGCUAUUUAGGUAGCGCCUCGUGAAUUCAUCUCCGGGGGUAGAGCACUGUUUCGGCAAGGGGGUCAUCCCGACUUACCAACCCGAUGCAAACUGCGAAUACCGGAGAAUGUUAUCACGGGAGACACACGGCGGGUGCUAACGUCCGUCGUGAAGAGGGAAACAACCCAGACCGCCAGCUAAGGUCCCAAAGUCAUGGUUAAGUGGGAAACGAUGUGGGAAGGCCCAGACAGCCAGGAUGUUGGCUUAGAAGCAGCCAUCAUUUAAAGAAAGCGUAAUAGCUCACUGGUCGAGUCGGCCUGCGCGGAAGAUGUAACGGGGCUAAACCAUGCACCGAAGCUGCGGCAGCGACGCUGAUGCGUUGUUGGGUAGGGGAGCGUUCUGUAAGCCUGCGAAGGUGUGCUGUGAGGCAUGCUGGAGGUAUCAGAAGUGCGAAUGCUGACAUAAGUAACGAUAAAGCGGGUGAAAAGCCCGCUCGCCGGAAGACCAAGGGUUCCUGUCCAACGUUAAUCGGGGCAGGGUGAGUCGACCCCUAAGGCGAGGCCGAAAGGCGUAGUCGAUGGGAAACAGGUUAAUAUUCCUGUACUUGGUGUUACUGCGAAGGGGGGACGGAGAAGGCUAUGUUGGCCGGGCGACGGUUGUCCCGGUUUAAGCGUGUAGGCUGGUUUUCCAGGCAAAUCCGGAAAAUCAAGGCUGAGGCGUGAUGACGAGGCACUACGGUGCUGAAGCAACAAAUGCCCUGCUUCCAGGAAAAGCCUCUAAGCAUCAGGUAACAUCAAAUCGUACCCCAAACCGACACAGGUGGUCAGGUAGAGAAUACCAAGGCGCUUGAGAGAACUCGGGUGAAGGAACUAGGCAAAAUGGUGCCGUAACUUCGGGAGAAGGCACGCUGAUAUGUAGGUGAGGUCCCUCGCGGAUGGAGCUGAAAUCAGUCGAAGAUACCAGCUGGCUGCAACUGUUUAUUAAAAACACAGCACUGUGCAAACACGAAAGUGGACGUAUACGGUGUGACGCCUGCCCGGUGCCGGAAGGUUAAUUGAUGGGGUUAGCCGCAAGGCGAAGCUCUUGAUCGAAGCCCCGGUAAACGGCGGCCGUAACUAUAACGGUCCUAAGGUAGCGAAAUUCCUUGUCGGGUAAGUUCCGACCUGCACGAAUGGCGUAAUGAUGGCCAGGCUGUCUCCACCCGAGACUCAGUGAAAUUGAACUCGCUGUGAAGAUGCAGUGUACCCGCGGCAAGACGGAAAGACCCCGUGAACCUUUACUAUAGCUUGACACUGAACAUUGAGCCUUGAUGUGUAGGAUAGGUGGGAGGCUUUGAAGUGUGGACGCCAGUCUGCAUGGAGCCGACCUUGAAAUACCACCCUUUAAUGUUUGAUGUUCUAACGUUGACCCGUAAUCCGGGUUGCGGACAGUGUCUGGUGGGUAGUUUGACUGGGGCGGUCUCCUCCUAAAGAGUAACGGAGGAGCACGAAGGUUGGCUAAUCCUGGUCGGACAUCAGGAGGUUAGUGCAAUGGCAUAAGCCAGCUUGACUGCGAGCGUGACGGCGCGAGCAGGUGCGAAAGCAGGUCAUAGUGAUCCGGUGGUUCUGAAUGGAAGGGCCAUCGCUCAACGGAUAAAAGGUACUCCGGGGAUAACAGGCUGAUACCGCCCAAGAGUUCAUAUCGACGGCGGUGUUUGGCACCUCGAUGUCGGCUCAUCACAUCCUGGGGCUGAAGUAGGUCCCAAGGGUAUGGCUGUUCGCCAUUUAAAGUGGUACGCGAGCUGGGUUUAGAACGUCGUGAGACAGUUCGGUCCCUAUCUGCCGUGGGCGCUGGAGAACUGAGGGGGGCUGCUCCUAGUACGAGAGGACCGGAGUGGACGCAUCACUGGUGUUCGGGUUGUCAUGCCAAUGGCACUGCCCGGUAGCUAAAUGCGGAAGAGAUAAGUGCUGAAAGCAUCUAAGCACGAAACUUGCCCCGAGAUGAGUUCUCCCUGACUCCUUGAGAGUCCUGAAGGAACGUUGAAGACGACGACGUUGAUAGGCCGGGUGUGUAAGCGCAGCGAUGCGUUGAGCUAACCGGUACUAAUGAACCGUGAGGCUUAACCUUACAACGCCGAAGGUGUUU
RNAcentral lists this ribosomal RNA (2933 nucleotides) under Escherichia coli. RNAcentral describes it as "bacterial LSU rRNA". It matches the Rfam family "Bacterial large subunit ribosomal RNA". Lineage: Bacteria; Pseudomonadati; Pseudomonadota; Gammaproteobacteria; Enterobacterales; Enterobacteriaceae. The record is from RNAcentral.